Molecule: ribosomal RNA, 510 nt
Filed under: uncultured bacterium
Lineage: Bacteria
Description: partial 16S ribosomal RNA
Rfam family: Bacterial small subunit ribosomal RNA
Source: RNAcentral
GACGAACGCUGGCGGCGUGCUUAGCACAUGCAAGUCGAACGAAGAGCGACGGAAGCUUGCUUCUAUCAAUCUUAGUGGCGAACGGGUGAGUAACGCGUAAUCAACCUGCCCUUCAGAGGGGGACAACAGUUGGAAACGACUGCUAAUACCGCAUACGAUCUAAUCUCGGCAUCGAGGAUGGAUGAAAGGUGGCCUCUACAUGUAAGCUAUCACUGAAGGAGGGGAUUGCGUCUGAUUAGCUAGUUGGAGGGGUAACGGCCCACCAAGGCGAUGAUCAGUAGCCGGUCUGAGAGGAUGAACGGCCACAUUGGGACUGAGACACGGCCCAGACUCCUACGGGAGGCAGCAGUGGGGAAUCUUCCGCAAUGGACGAAAGUCUGACGGAGCAACGCCGCGUGAGUGAUGACGGCCUUCGGGUUGUAAAGCUCUGUUAAUCGGGACGAAAGGCCUUCUUGCGAAUAGUGAGAAGGAUUGACGGUACCGGAAGAGAAAGCCACGGCUAACUACGUG